This 17-nucleotide small RNA is filed under the name Arabidopsis thaliana (thale cress). Its description in RNAcentral is "ATSL005330". The record is from RNAcentral. Lineage: Eukaryota; Viridiplantae; Streptophyta; Magnoliopsida; Brassicales; Brassicaceae.
UUUUCAGAUUUUUUGUA